GACGAACGCUGGCGGCGUGCUUAACACAUGCAAGUCGAACGGAAAGGCCCCUUCGGGGGUACUCGAGUGGCGAACAGGUGAGCAACACGUGAGUAACCUGCCCUUGACUUCGGGAUAACUUCAGGAAACUGGGGCUAAUACCGGAUAGGAAUCCUUGCUGCAUGGUGGGGGUUGGAAAGCUUCGGCGGUUUUGGAUGGACUCGCGGCUUAUCAGCUUGUUGGUGGGGUAGUGGCUUACCAAGGCUUUGACGGGUGGCCGGCCUGAGAGGGCGACCGGCCACAUUGGGACUGAGAUACGGCCCAGACUCCUACGGGAGGCAGCAGUGGGGAAUAUUGCACAAUGGGCGGAAGCCUGAUGCAGCAACGCCGCGUGCGGGAUGACGGCCUUCGGGUUGUAAACCGCUUUCAGCAGGGGCGAAGCUUGUGGUGACGGUACCUGCAGAAGAAGCACCGGCUAACUACGUG
RNAcentral lists this ribosomal RNA (465 nucleotides) under uncultured bacterium. Its description in RNAcentral is "partial 16S ribosomal RNA". It matches the Rfam family "Bacterial small subunit ribosomal RNA", at positions 28 to 507 of the family's 1533-position model. The record is from RNAcentral.